UACUGUGUUAUGGCAGCCCUAGGAAACAAAUUCAUAUGUCAAUGUUCAGCCCCUUAACUCUUUUCCCUUAAGAAAUAGAGCUCAACUAUUUAAAAUUACCAAGACAUGGAAACAACCUAAAUGUCCACCGACAGAUGAAUGGAUAAAGAAGAUGUGGUACAUAUAUACAAUGGAAUAUUACUCGGCCAUAAAAAAGAAUGAAAUAAUGCGAUCUGCAGCUACAUGGAUGGACCUAGAGAUUAUCACACUAAGCAAAUUGAUUAUCUGAAGUCUUGAGGUCUUCUUCAGGAGCCUCUACGAAGGCCUGCUUAUUGUGAAGGGGGCGCUGGGUGAGAUUCGAAGACACUUUUCCCCCACUCUGACUCUGUACCCAGUAUUUUUCCACUCCUAACCCUUCCCCCACCUUCCUCCCCAAAAGAGGGUCCAUAAAACUGCUGGAGCCUUUUGUUCUGGGUCCCUCAGCAGGGAGCCGACCCUCACAUCUAUGCGGAUCCAUCUGACUCUCCACCUGUGUGCCUUCCCAUGGAGGGAAAUGGAGCAGGGGGAGUCAGCACCCGCUCCAGUCUCAGCCUCCUGCUUUACCAUCAUAGGAAGUGACGAAAGACUUGCUGCUUUAAGCGGCUACUUUGACACCUGGCAGCCUAGCUCUCUCCCAACUCAGCAGAGCCCCUGACAUCCCCCUUGAGGCUGAUUCAGAUGCCACGUGAAAGGCAGGAGAAGAUUCCAGCACCAGAGAAAGGUCCCAGUCAGAGGGAGCCCCUUCUACCUGCUCGGAGGUGAGAGCCAAGCGAGGAACAGCAGUGACUUGCAUGUCCAGGCCCCUGAGGUGACCACUUAAGGUUAAAGAACCUUUUCUCAAAGUGGGGUACACUGCCAUGCCCAAUAUAUGUGAUACUAUAGAUAAAAACAACUAUACAGAGCCUGGCAAAAUCCGAGUGACUGUUCAUCUUUUAUUCCUUCUUUCCUUUAUUCUCCACCCCAAUUUUUGGCUGUUACUGCAGGGAUAAAAGGCAAGAAGGAGAGGAAGGCAAGAUGAUCCUUCUCGCAGCUCUGCUUAGAAUCCUAAUGUGUCCCAGCUACAGGGGCCUGACCUUCUCAUUUCACAUAUGAGGAUGCUGACACCAGAGAGCAUUCGGCAAAGACAAGAUUCUGGGGGGCAGAAGGGCAUGACGGACAGACAGCAGCCAAGGAGUCUCAUGAAGGGGCAGCCCCAGCAAACCAGGCAAGUGAGGGAGAUGGGUCAGCGCGGCAGGGAUGUUUCCAAAGA
Long non-coding RNA from Physeter macrocephalus (sperm whale), 1267 nucleotides. RefSeq lists it as uncharacterized. The record is from RefSeq and is a predicted model, not a curated record. Lineage: Eukaryota; Metazoa; Chordata; Mammalia; Artiodactyla; Physeteridae. The transcript has 4 exons.